UACGGAGGAUCCAAGCGUUAUCCGGAAUCAUUGGGUUUAAAGGGUCCGUAGGCGGCUUAGUAAGUCAGUGGUGAAAGCCCAUCGCUCAACGGUGGAACGGCCAUUGAUACUGCUAGACUUGAAUUAUUAGGAAGUAACUAGAAUAUGUAGUGUAGCGGUGAAAUGCUUAGAGAUUACAUGGAAUACCAAUUGCGAAGGCAGGUUACUACUAAUGGAUUGACGCUGAUGGACGAAAGCGUGGGUAGCGAACAGG
This 253-nucleotide ribosomal RNA is filed under the name uncultured bacterium. RNAcentral's name for it is "partial 16S ribosomal RNA". It matches the Rfam family "Bacterial small subunit ribosomal RNA", at positions 524 to 776 of the family's 1533-position model. The record is from RNAcentral.